RNAcentral lists this ribosomal RNA (82 nucleotides) under Fidelibacterota bacterium. Its description in RNAcentral is "partial 16S ribosomal RNA". The stretch from base 1 to 73 matches the Rfam family "Bacterial small subunit ribosomal RNA", at positions 1461 to 1533 of the family's 1533-position model. Lineage: Bacteria; Pseudomonadati; Fidelibacterota. The record is from RNAcentral.
GGUAAGACCGAUGACUAGGGCGAAGUCGUAACAAGGUAGCCGUACUGGAAAGUGCGGCUGGAUCACCUCCUUUCUAAGGAGC